UCCACGCACACAAUUCCAGCCUUGCUUCCUUCUCCGAAUCCCCUGUUCCCACCGAACUCAGGAUCCGAUCUUACCUCCCAGCUCCUUCAUUCCAUUCUCUUCCCAGUAUCUGUAUCUUCGCGUCAUCACGGAUCAGGUCAUCAUCCCGAGCAUCACGAAAGAACACUUUUUCCUUAUCCCCUGCUUCAGCGGAACAGGAUUUGGAUCUUCCAAUCGCGAGCUUCACGACCAUGGAUCCAGAGAAUCAAGCCGUCCACGUCUCCGCGAAGCAGCUUCAGGCGUUUCCUCCGCGUGUCUUCCCUCCCGUCCGCGAUUCAAGGCCUCUUCCCUCCACGGAUGAUUUCAUCUCCCCUGCUCCAUCGUCCACAGAUUCUCCCAGUGUCCGUUCUCAUCAUCCCAAUCUUCUCCCGGAUAAGCUCCAGUCCCUGUAACCUCCCGCGUAUUCUCCGUGAUUCAUCCUCAUCUCCUCUCAACCAGGAAUAGAGGGGGAGUUGCAGCCUAUAAAAGGCCCAGGUGUGAACCGAGAAGGGCAUCCUUCUCCCCCCACCGGGGGGCAUUC
Molecule: long non-coding RNA, 559 nt
Filed under: Phoenix dactylifera (date palm)
Lineage: Eukaryota; Viridiplantae; Streptophyta; Magnoliopsida; Arecales; Arecaceae
Description: long non-coding RNA (PDAC_LNC008980)
Source: RNAcentral